Molecule: long non-coding RNA, 1181 nt
Filed under: Macaca fascicularis (crab-eating macaque)
Lineage: Eukaryota; Metazoa; Chordata; Mammalia; Primates; Cercopithecidae
Description: lncRNA (ENSMFAG00000062548.1)
Source: RNAcentral
UUUUUUUUUUUUUUUUUUUUUUUUGUAUUUUUAGUGGAGACGGGGUUUCACUCUGUUAGCCAGGACGGUCUCGAUCUUCUGACCUCGUGAUCUGCCUGCCUUGGCCUCCCAAAGUGCUGGGAUUACAGGUGUGAGCCACUGCGCCUGGCCAUAUGUGUGUAUACGUUAGUCCAUUUCACACUAUUGACAAAGACAUACCCAAGUCUGAGCAAUUUACAAAAGAAAGAGGUUUAAUGGACUCACAAUUCUACGUGGCUGGGGAGGCCUCACAAUCAUGGCAGAAGGUGAAAGACAUGUCUCACAUGGUGGCAGACAAGAGAAUAGAGGUUGUGCAGGAAAACUCCCCUUAUAAAACCAUCAGAUCUCAUGUGAGUUAUUCACUAUCACAAGAACAGCACAGGAAAGACCCACCCCCAUGAGUCAAUUACCUCCCACUGGGUCCCUCCCACAACAAUUGGGAGCUACAAUUCAAGAUGAGAUUUGGGUGGGGACACAGUCAAACCAUAUCAAUAUAGCAUUAAAUGUUGUUUACACAAGUUAAAACAUAUCACAUAGUUUAACUUUUAAAAACUAAUUGAUUUUACAAGGUUCUUCAUUGUCUUAUUAUGCUGUGAUUUUACUCUCUUGCCAGCCAACAAAUUAGUCUGUCACAAUCUUACAAACACCAGCUGAGGACACAAGAUUCCAAGGUCAGAAACAACAGCCUUCAUUACUCAUCAUAAAAGUAGUAACAACAGUGUCAGAAUUUGUGCCUAUUCCCCACCAUAAUUUCUCAGGGACAUAAUGCUCUAAAUGACACCUACACAUUCAUGGGAUUGCAUUUCAGAAAAUGAAAUCUGAAUUUAAGAACUCAGUUUUAGUUUAGGAAAUUUGAAUCUUUUAUAUUAGACAGUAAGCAUGACUAUCUUUUCCGCCAAUGGGAGAUGCUAUCUUACCUUGUAAGACUACAAACUCAAUCUUUGCUCUUGACUGAAACACAAUCUCUGUCUUCCAAGAAUGUGCAAUAACACAUCUUUAAAAGGAUAAUUCAGAACAGAAAAGAAUCAAUGCUUCUGCUACAAAGUAUGCAGAAACAUAAAUGAACCAAGGAGAAUCAUUUUCCUACAUAUGCCUUAUUUAGCACAUAAGGAGGUUUUAAGUUUUUUGUUUGUUUAUAUUCAUAUGUCUAUGAUUGAUUUAUC